Molecule: long non-coding RNA, 725 nt
Organism: Cyprinus carpio carpio
Lineage: Eukaryota; Metazoa; Chordata; Actinopteri; Cypriniformes; Cyprinidae
Source: Ensembl
UGUUGCUAGCAUGAUUAGCAAGUGACUAGCAUGUUUUUAGCAUGAUUAUCGAUUGACUAGCAUGUCGCUAGCAUGUUUCUAGCAUGAUUAACAAGUGACUAGCAUGUCACUAGCAUGUUUUUAGCAUGAUUAGCUAUGACUAGCAUGUCGCUAGCAUGUUUAUAGCAUGAUUAACAAGUGACUAGCAUGUCACUAGCAUGUUUUUAGCAUGAUUAGUGAGUGACUAGCAUGUCGCUAGCAUGUUUCUAGCAUGAUUAGCAAGUGACAAGCAUGUUUUUAGCAUGAUUAGCAAGUUACUAGCAUGUCGCUAGCAUGUUUCUAGCAUGAUUAGCAAGUGACUAGCAUGUCACUAGCAUGAUUAGCGAGUGACUAGCAUGUCGCUAGCAUGUUUCUAGCAUGAUUAGCAAGUGAUUAGCAUGUCGCUAGCAUGUUUCUAGCAUGAUUAGCAAGUGACUAGCAUGUCGCUAGCAUGUUUCUAUGAUAAUCUAGCUAAAACCAGUUGAUUCAGUAAAGAAAACCAGCUAAAACCAGCUAAAACCAGCUAAGACCAGCUAAGACCAGCGUGACAGUGGCCAAAACUACUUUAAAACCAUGUUAAAAGCAUGUUAAAAGCAUGUUUCUAACCUGAUUAUCAAGUUACUAACAUGUUGUUAACAUGUUUCUAUGAUAAUCUAGCUAAAACCAGUUGAUUCACUAAAAACCAGCUAAGACCAGCUAAGACCAGC